This 473-nucleotide ribosomal RNA is filed under the name uncultured bacterium. RNAcentral describes it as "bacterial SSU rRNA". It matches the Rfam family "Bacterial small subunit ribosomal RNA", at positions 328 to 793 of the family's 1533-position model. The record is from RNAcentral.
CUCUGUGACUCCUACGGGAGGCAGCAGUGGGGAAUAUUGCACAAUGGGCGCAAGCCUGAUGCAGCCAUGCCGCGUGUGUGAAGAAGGCCUUCGGGUUGUAAAGCACUUUCAGUUGUGAGGAAGGUGGUGUCGUUAAUAGCGGCAUCAUUUGACGUUAGCAACAGAAGAAGCACCGGCUAACUCCGUGCCAGCAGCCGCGGUAAUACGGAGGGUGCGAGCGUUAAUCGGAAUUACUGGGCGUAAAGCGCAUGCAGGUGGUUUGUUAAGUCAGAUGUGAAAGCCCCGGGGCUCAACCUCGGAACUGCAUUUGAAACUGGCAGACUAGAGUACUGUAGAGGGGGUAGAAUUUCAGGUGUAGCGGUGAAAUGCGUAGAGAUCUGAAGGAAUACCGGUGGCGAAGGCGGCCCCCUGGACAGAUACUGACACUCAGAUGCGAAAGCGUGGGGAGCAAACAGGAUUAGAUACCCUGGUAA